AUGACCCCCUUUUAACCUAACCCCGCUUGGAAACGCUAAGUGUGAAGCGGGUCAGCUUGGUAUACCGUCGCCGAUAGAUCACCCUAUGAGGGGCUUAAAGUGGUCGGGAAGAGAAGCCAAAAGUUGUAGGUUGUAAUUAUAUCUACGAGUAAAUUGUGGCUGAAACUUGUUAUGCUGAGGGGCCUAAGGGUACAUCAGUCGAUAUCUAUCUCAGGUAGCCAUAUCUAAGGUGCAUCUAUAUGGCGAGUGUGAUAGUAUGGGUACAAAUAACUAAUUUAGAUAUACGGAUAUAUCGCUGUAUUGUGGAAUAUAUAGGCGGACWUGGAUGUAAUGUURAAUUURGAAAUAUAAGUGAACAUAGGGUAUGGGAAAUGUGUCC
Molecule: ribosomal RNA, 379 nt
Filed under: Haliotis rubra conicopora
Lineage: Eukaryota; Metazoa; Mollusca; Gastropoda; Lepetellida; Haliotidae
Description: Haliotis conicopora partial 12S ribosomal RNA
Source: RNAcentral